Non-coding RNA from Acanthosepion pharaonis, 99 nucleotides. Lineage: Eukaryota; Metazoa; Mollusca; Cephalopoda; Sepiida; Sepiidae. The record is from the annotation of a GenBank genome assembly.
GUUGAAACACUGGCUCUCAUAUGAUCACUAAAGUUAAGCAAUGCCAAGCCUGAUCAGUACCUAGAUGACUGAUCAUUUGGGAAUACCAGGUGCUGCAAU